UAUUGAAGUUGAGGUGUGUCAAAACAAGAUAAAAUGGCGAAUAGUUGAAUGUAAACAGUUAUAUCAAAAACAUUAUAUUUAUAGCUAUUGCUAUUAAAUUCUCAUUAGGUAUGUCCCUUAAAUUUAUCAGAGUAUUCGUUAGUUCAUUGAGGCAGCAUCUACCACGACAGAACAAUUUAUUAUCAGGUUUUCAAAUACGAACUAUAACAGCAAUGGAGGUUGCGCCUGUUGAUAAAAAGGACAAUUUAGUUCAGGAUAAAAAUCGCACUAGGUAUAAACGAAGGCGACAAUGGGACGAUAGAAAAGAAAAUGGUGAGAGUCAAGAGAAAAAAACAUGCGAUAAACCUUUCGAGAGAAUUAAAAGAAAAAAAAUGGCCAUGCUACUCGGCUAUUGCGGAGUUGAUUAUUAUGGUAUGCAAAGGAACCCCGGGGUUCCGACUAUUGAAGAGGAUCUCCUAAAAGCUUUAUAUGAAGCGAAAUAUAUCACGGAAGAUGAUUUUAACAACCAGCAGAAUGCACAGUUCCAAAGAAGUUCUAGGACCGACAAGGGUGUCUCAGCGGCUAGGCAGGUGGUGUCACUUAAACUACCUCUAGAAGUAAGCGUAGACGAAAUAAACAGUAGGUUACCAGAUUGCAUCAAAGUUUUUGGUAUAAAAAGAGCAACAAAUAAAUUUAACUCAAAAUCUAAAUGCAAUGCCAGAACAUACAGCUACACGCUACCUACUUACGUGUUUGAGUCAAAUGUCGCAUCGGAAGAUGAGAGGAAAGCAUACAGAAUCACGUCUCAGAAGAUAGCUCAAGUCAAUGAAGUGCUUGGUUACUAUAAGGGCACAAAGAGUUAUCAUAACUUCACCGAGAAAAAACAUUUCCAAGAUCCGUCAUCUCUGAGGUACAUGAUGAGUUUUGUAUUGGAGAGGGUCUUCAUGGAGUCGGAAAUGGAGUUCGCGGAAUUGCUAGUUAAAGGACAAAGUUUCAUGUUGCAUCAAAUAAGAAAGAUGAUAGGGCUGAUGAUCGCUGUAGUUAGAGGUCAUACAGACAUUUCUACGUUGGAGAAGUCGUUUGGCAAAGAAAAGGUCAUGAUACCAACAGCGCCUGGCCUGGGAUUGGUUCUCGAUAAGGUACAUUACGAGAGAUAUGACGCCAAAUUCAAAGACAGCCACGAAAGCUUAACCUGGGACGAAGAGGAAGAUGCAGUGGAGAAAUUCAAACGAGAAAAAAUAUUCCCUAACAUUGUUAAAGGUGAAUUGGAAUCAAAUUCGAUGGGAUUGUGGCUCGAGAAGAUGAAGAAUCAUUCUUAUGAACCAUCUGAAGAUGCUAAUGAUGAAAGAGUUAAAGACGAAGAGAAAGAUUGUGGUGAUGAUGAUGGUGAUGAUGAAAUAAAAGAUGAUGAUGACGAUGAGGUUGAGGUUAAAGACCUUGGGAAUAAAGUAGAAGAUGCUAGUGACGCUGAAGUAAAAGAUAAUGGUGAUGAAGUAAAAGAUAAUGGUGAUGAAGUAAAAGAUAAAAGUGAUGUUAGUGAAAUAGAAGCUAAGAAGGUGAACGUGUAAAUAGUGUUCCACUUAUAAUAAGCAUAAUUUACAUCCCAGAUACGCAAGUUAUUGAAAAUAAAUAACCCUAUCGUGACGACGCGAGUAUUGGUCGCUAUCGAGGAGUACCCUACAUCCCACCAACAAAUGCCUAGCAGGUCCAACUGCCUUCCCACAGAUAUAGGAAGUCUUUUCGGUACCUUUACCCCAUCUUACUAAAUUACUCUGAUCUGGGAGAGUCAUCUGGAACGCAUUGAGAUAGAAUUUUUGCAAUGCUGGCGACCAAUCAUGGAUUAAGGUGCGCCAUUUUAGUGCUAAUGGGAUGCAAAAAUCUCCUAUGUCUAACCACUCGUUCUGCAUUUCUAAACUUAUUGCAUGGAU
This is an RNA transcript of Danaus plexippus (monarch butterfly), 1907 nucleotides long. It is a transcript of the gene named pseudouridylate synthase 1 homolog, with no coding region annotated. Lineage: Eukaryota; Metazoa; Arthropoda; Insecta; Lepidoptera; Nymphalidae. The transcript has 8 exons. The record is from RefSeq and is a predicted model, not a curated record.